This 64-nucleotide transfer RNA is filed under the name Stenomorpha obovata. RNAcentral's name for it is "tRNA-Thr". The record is from RNAcentral. Lineage: Eukaryota; Metazoa; Arthropoda; Insecta; Coleoptera; Tenebrionidae.
GUUUUAAUAAUUUAAUAAAAAUAUUGGUCUUGUAAACCAAAUUUAAGUAUAUUCUUUUAAAACA